AUGCAAAUACACCAUUCAGGAGGGUGACUCGCAUUCUGAUUGGGUUUCAUGUGUUCGAUUCAGCCCGAAUACACUUCAGCCCACUAUCGUUUCUGGAUCCUGGGACCGUACUGUGAAAAUCUGGAACCUGACUAACUGUAAGCUGAGGUCCACUCUGGCUGGACACGCCGGCUACGUGAACACCGUGGCUGUCUCUCCUGAUGGUUCAUUGUGUGCUAGUGGAGGCAAAGAUGGUACUAUUUUGCUUUGGGAUUUGGCUGAGGGGAAGAAGCUAUACUCGCUUGAUGCUGGCUCUAUCAUUCAUGCGCUGUGCUUUAGUCCUAACAGGUACUGGCUCUGCGCAGCUACUGAAACUAGCAUUAAGAUUUGGGAUUUGGAGAGCAAGA
This 386-nucleotide long non-coding RNA is filed under the name Nicotiana tabacum (common tobacco). RNAcentral describes it as "long non-coding RNA (NTAB_LNC008833)". The record is from RNAcentral. Lineage: Eukaryota; Viridiplantae; Streptophyta; Magnoliopsida; Solanales; Solanaceae.